Molecule: ribosomal RNA, 306 nt
Filed under: uncultured bacterium
Lineage: Bacteria
Description: partial 16S ribosomal RNA
Rfam family: Bacterial small subunit ribosomal RNA
Source: RNAcentral
GACAGCAGCAGCCGCGGUAAGACGAACCGUGCGAACGUUAUUCGGAAUCAUUGGGCUUAAAGCGCGUGUAGGCGGAUGGGAACGUCGGUCGCUGAAAUACCCCGGCUCAACCGGGGAACUGGCAUCGAAACGACCCGUCUCGAGGGGCAUAGGGGGAGCUGGAACUUCCGGUGGAGCGGUGAAAUGCGUUGAGAUCGGAAGGAACGCCCGUGGCGAAAGCGAGCUCCUGGAUGUCUUCUGACGCUGAGACGCGAAAGCUAGGGUAGCGAACGGGAUUAGAUACCCCAGUAGUCCCUGUCUCUUAUA